GGACUACAGGGGUAUCUAAUCCCGUUUGCUCCCCUGGCCUUCGUGCCUCAGUGUCAGGAACUGCCCAGGCAUUCGCCUUCGCCACUGGUCUUCCUCACGAUAUCUACGCAUUUCACUGCUACACCGUGAAUUCCAAUGCCCUCUACAGUCCUCUAGCAAAGCAGUAUCGAAUGCAGUUUCCAAGUUGAGCUUGGAGAUUUCACAUCCGACUUACCUCGCCACCUACGCACCCUUUACGCCCAAUGAAUCCGAACAACGCUUGAGACCUCUGUAUUACCGCGGCGGCUGGCAC
This 292-nucleotide unclassified non-coding RNA is filed under the name uncultured fungus. RNAcentral describes it as "sequence contains ITS1". Lineage: Eukaryota; Fungi. The record is from RNAcentral.